RNAcentral lists this ribosomal RNA (713 nucleotides) under Salmonella enterica. RNAcentral describes it as "partial 23S ribosomal RNA". It matches the Rfam family "Bacterial large subunit ribosomal RNA", at positions 1 to 652 of the family's 2925-position model. Lineage: Bacteria; Pseudomonadati; Pseudomonadota; Gammaproteobacteria; Enterobacterales; Enterobacteriaceae. The record is from RNAcentral. RNAcentral also lists the same sequence under 2 other names.
GGUUAAGCGACUAAGCGUACACGGUGGAUGCCCUGGCAGUCAGAGGCGAUGAAGGACGUGCUAAUCUGCGAUAAGCGCCGGUAAGGUGAUAUGAACCGUUAUAACCGGCGAUUUCCGAAUGGGGAAACCCAGUGUGACUCGUCACACUAUCAUUAACUGAAUCCAUAGGUUAAUGAGGCGAACCGGGGGAACUGAAACAUCUAAGUACCCCGAGGAAAAGAAAUCAACCGAGAUUCCCCCAGUAGCGGCGAGCGAACGGGGAGGAGCCCAGAGCCUGAAUCAGCAUGUGUGUUAGUGGAAGCGUCUGGAAAGGCGCGCGAUACAGGGUGACAGCCCCGUACACAAAAGCGCAUGUGUUGUGAGCUCGAUGAGUAGGGCGGGACACGUGGUAUCCUGUCUGAAUAUGGGGGGACCAUCCUCCAAGGCUAAAUACUCCUGACUGACCGAUAGUGAACCAGUACCGUGAGGGAAAGGCGAAAAGAACCCCGGCGAGGGGAGUGAAAAAGAACCUGAAACCGUGUACGUACAAGCAGUGGGAGCCCCACCACUAAGCCAGUGGUGAACUCCACAUACGCAUCCUUUGCUGAAGGUGCGGUUAACGGAGCGCAAGCGACGUUCAACCUCAAAAGAAGCAGAGGGGGCUUAGUGGUGGGGUGACUGCGUACCUUUUGUAUAAUGGGUCAGCGACUUAUAUUCUGUAGCAAGGUUAACCG